AUGGCAAUACCAGUGGUUGUGAUGGAUAUUUCGUCUGCUGGCAACAGUAACAAGGUUCAGACUUAUGGCAGCAUUAAACAUAAUACCUAAGCUGGAUAUGCUUUGACUUGACACCAAACGUCUGGAAAGAGGAAUCCCACACCACAGGGCUUACUGAUUCUUUGUGCUCAGCUUUUCUCAAGAGAAUACUUUUGAAUGGAAAUGUGCAGUUUCUUCAUUAUAAUAUUUGGGGAACAUCUAAUCUGAAGAAUUCCCUUCAAGGAGG
Long non-coding RNA from Hemiscyllium ocellatum (epaulette shark), 265 nucleotides. RefSeq lists it as uncharacterized. The transcript is spliced from 3 exons. Lineage: Eukaryota; Metazoa; Chordata; Chondrichthyes; Orectolobiformes; Hemiscylliidae. The record is from RefSeq and is a predicted model, not a curated record.